GAUGAACGCUGACAGAAUGCUUAACACAUGCAAGUCUUUGGCGAAGCUGUGCUUGCACAGCCUAGCCAAGGCGGACGGGUGAGUAACGCGUAAGGAACUUGCCCUGCAGUCAGGGAUAACAGACGGAAACGACUGAUAAGACCUGGUAAAGUCAGGCGGACUCAUGUCCAGCCUGAUGAAAAGAGAUGCUGCAGGAGAGCCUUGCGUCCUAUUAGCUUGUUGGUGGGGUAACGGCCCACCAAGGCGAUGAUAGGUAGCCGGCCUGAGAGGGUGGACGGCCACAAGGGGACUGGGAUACGGCCCUUACUCCUACGGGAGGCAGCAGUGGGGAAUAGUGGACAAUGGGGGCAACGCUGAUCCAGCAAUUCUGUGUGCAAGAUGAAGGUUUUCGGAUUGUAAAGUGCUUUCAGCAGGGAAGAAAAAAAUGACGGUACCUGCAGAAGAAGCGACGGCUAAAUACGUG
RNAcentral lists this ribosomal RNA (463 nucleotides) under uncultured bacterium. Its description in RNAcentral is "partial 16S ribosomal RNA". It matches the Rfam family "Bacterial small subunit ribosomal RNA", at positions 28 to 507 of the family's 1533-position model. The record is from RNAcentral.